AUACGGAGGGUGCAAGCGUUGUUCGGAAUUACUGGGCGUAAAGAGUGUGUAGGCGGCUUGGUAAGUCAUAUGUGAAAGCCCUCGGCUCAACCGAGGAAGUGCAUAUGAUACUGCCAGGCUUGAGUCUCGGAGAGGGGGGUGGAAUUCCCGGUGUAGAGGUGAAAUUCGUAGAUAUCGGGAGGAACAUCAGUGGCGAAGGCGACCCCCUGGACGAUGACUGACGCUGAGACACGAAAGCGUGGGGAGCAAACAGGAUUAGAAACCCCAGUAGUCC
RNAcentral lists this ribosomal RNA (274 nucleotides) under uncultured bacterium. RNAcentral describes it as "partial 16S ribosomal RNA". It matches the Rfam family "Bacterial small subunit ribosomal RNA", at positions 523 to 796 of the family's 1533-position model. The record is from RNAcentral.